This 261-nucleotide ribosomal RNA is filed under the name uncultured bacterium. RNAcentral's name for it is "partial 16S ribosomal RNA". It matches the Rfam family "Bacterial small subunit ribosomal RNA", at positions 99 to 354 of the family's 1533-position model. The record is from RNAcentral.
CGAACGGGUGAGUAACACGUGGGCAACCUGCCCAAAAGAGGGGGAUAACACUUGGAAACAGGUGCUAAUACCGCAUAACCAUAGUUACCGCAUGGUAACUAUGUAAAAGGUGGCUAUGCUACCGCUUUUGGAUGGGCCCGCGGCGCAUUAGCUAGUUGGUGGGGUAAAGGCUUACCAAGGCAAUGAUGCGUAGCCGAACUGAGAGGUUGAUCGGCCAUAUUGGGACUGAGACACGGCCCAAACUCCUACGGAAGGCAGCAG